UACGUAGGGUGCGAGCGUUUGUCCGGAAUUAUUGGGCGUAAAGAGCUUGUAGGCGGUUUGUCGCGUCUGCUGUGAAAAUCCGGGGCUCAACCCCGGACUUGCAGUGGGUACGGGCAGACUAGAGUGUGGUAGGGGAGACUGGAAUUCCUGGUGUAGCGGUGGAAUGCGCAGAUAUCAGGAGGAACACCGAUGGCGAAGGCAGGUCUCUGGGCCACUACUGACGCUGAGAAGCGAAAGCAUGGGGAGCGAACAGG
This 254-nucleotide ribosomal RNA is filed under the name uncultured bacterium. RNAcentral describes it as "partial 16S ribosomal RNA". It matches the Rfam family "Bacterial small subunit ribosomal RNA", at positions 524 to 776 of the family's 1533-position model. The record is from RNAcentral.